CUAACAAGGAUUCCCCCAGUAACGGCGAGUGAAGCGGGAACAGCUCAAAUUUGAAAUCUCCGACGCUUGCGUCGGCGAGUUGUAGUUGCGAGAAGCACUUUCUCGGCGGAUCGGGCGUGCCUAAGUUGCUUGGAACAGUACGUCGCAGAGGGUGACAACCCCGUUUGUGGCACGGCCGACCGCUCACGAUGUGCUUUCGAAGAGUCGGGUUGUUCGGGAAUGCAGCCCAAAACGGGUGGUAAACUCCAUCUAAAGCUAAAUAUUGACGUGAGACCGAUAGCGAAGGAAACGAAUGGACUCAGCAAUGCGCCGUUUGAGAUUCAGCCGGCCGGUGGGAUCGGCUCGGGGUUUGCGGAUCUGAAUAGACCGCUAUCCCGGGCUCGUUUCUCUCGACCGUCGCACUUCUCUUGGGCGCACGUCAACGUCGGUUGGGACUGGGUCUGAAAGGUUCCGGGAAGGUAGGUCCGCGCGUUCCUCGCGUUCGCGCGCUCUGUUACAGCCCGGUUCUCUUGCGGCUCGGGCCCGACCGAGGCGGUUGCAGCGCAUGCCUCUUUUGGCUAGGGUCCCGUCCGUCCGGCCGGUUGUCGACCGCGGUGGACUGCUUGCAGUGCUCCGCGACUGCUGCCGGGUCGUUUGGGCGGUGAUCU
This 647-nucleotide ribosomal RNA is filed under the name Astroides calycularis. Its description in RNAcentral is "eukaryotic LSU rRNA". The stretch from base 1 to 294 matches the Rfam family "Eukaryotic large subunit ribosomal RNA", at positions 65 to 358 of the family's 3401-position model. Lineage: Eukaryota; Metazoa; Cnidaria; Anthozoa; Scleractinia; Dendrophylliidae. The record is from RNAcentral.